This 361-nucleotide ribosomal RNA is filed under the name uncultured Cortinariaceae. RNAcentral's name for it is "eukaryotic LSU rRNA". The stretch from base 1 to 105 matches the Rfam family "5.8S ribosomal RNA", at positions 50 to 154 of the family's 154-position model. Lineage: Eukaryota; Fungi; Basidiomycota; Agaricomycetes; Agaricales; Cortinariaceae. The record is from RNAcentral.
GAAAUGCGAUAAGUAAUGUGAAUUGCAGAAUUCAGUGAAUCAUCGAAUCUUUGAACGCACCUUGCGCUCCUUGGUAUUCCGAGGAGCAUGCCUGUUUGAGUGUCAUUAAUAUAUAUAUCAAACUUCUCUUGUUGAGUGGUUUGGAUGUGGGGGUUUGCUGGCCUUGUAAAGGGUUCAGCUCCCCUGAAAUGCAUUAGCAGAACAACCCUGUUCAUUGGUGUGAUAACUAUCUACGCUAUUGAAUGUAAGGGGCAGUUCAGCUUUCUAACAGUCCUCGGACAAUUCAUCAUUAAUGUGACCUCAAAUCAGGUAGGACUACCCGCUGAACUUAAGCAUAUCAAUAAGCGGAGGAAAAGAAACU